UUUGGACCAUUCCUUUUUCCACAAGUAGUUUCACAUGAAAAAGGUUGCAGAAACUGGGUUGUGCUCAGGGCAGAGAUUACUGAGUAAGAUCACUUCCAAGACAAACACUAAUUAAGUAACAUAUUAGAAGUGGUUGGAGAGGUAAGCUAAAGUCUAAAGAGCAACACUUCCAUCUUCUAGGACACAAAGAUGUUAUGCUCCUGCAUUUAUGAUGACCACUGAUGGACAGUCAUCAUCUCCAUAACUAUGUUCACCUCAUUCUCAGAUUGUAUUUACUUACUGCCAGGAAAAUAGAAUGGGGCCUUGGGAAGAGAUACAUAAUUAGGUAGACAAAAUUUAAUCAGCCUCUGUUUUGUGAACUGUUAGUAGUUGAGCUAGUGUAUUUCAAGUGUUUUUCAGUUUUUCUAUUGUUCUGCCCUUAUUGAUGUUAGAAUUAACUUAAUCCACAUCUGAUACAAACACACAACUUUAUUUCUGUCAAAUUAUCCUAAGCACAUGAGCACAAAGGUAAAGGGCACAGAGAGAUUGUCUGCUGUAGCAGAAAGAGUGUCAGUACAGCGAGAGUGCCUCAAACCUUGCUAGCCCUGCACCAGCAGAGUGAGCUUGAUCUAGGUCAGUGUGCCACAUCACAUGCCACAGCUUGUUUCAGUCCUGUAGGGGAGAGCCCUUAAAACCAAUUGAGGUGCAUCACUGUACUGUGGCUUUAUCUUCAAAUGAAGAAAUUCCCACUAGCAAAGGCAUCACCAUUCUACCCCAAGCAGGCUUGUGAUCCUGAAGACAAUCCGCUGCUAAGAGGGGGUUAUUUCCCUUUAGCCCUACACUCCCUUGAAAGAGACCACAGGUUGGUGUUGAAGGCUGUCAAAGCCUUCAGUGUUUGAGGAGAUGCAGAGACACCCUGUGGUGGCAGAAAGAAUAUGGUCAGAAUUCGAACCAACCUUACUUGACACAGAAAAGCUGCAGCCUGGGGACACAGAAAUCUUCCCCAAGUUGCUGUCGUAUCAUUUCCCCUCUCCUGACCUCUCUUCCUGUCUGGCACCCUUUGCCCUGCAUGUUUGCUUGACAGUCCCUGCCACAAAGUUUUACCUAUUGCUCUGUUCUUUAUCUCAGGAUCUAUCAUCUGGCUGCAGCCUGCUGUGUGCUACUGCGAUUGGAGGGGUUGCUGUGGAGAUGCUCCAUUUGUGGAAAAUAUUUUUCCUACAUCCUGCCAGACCUGGGUAGGGAAAAUUACAAGAGGAAUUAGUACUGAAAGAUCCUGCAGCAAAAGCCUUUGAAGCUCACUUCUUAGAGGUGCUGCUGUUACAACAGAUAAAAUGAGCUGGCAGAAAGGAAAGAAGGAACUUACAGAAGAAAGCAUAGGAGAUGGGAAACACAACCGAAAGAAGCGGGAGCGAAUAUUUAAGAAAAGAUUUUCUGGACUGAGUCUCUUCUCUGGGUCUCCUAGGAAUAAACUCCCUCAGGGAAGGAGUCAGAGUUUUGAAGACAAGAAGAGAUGCUUACACAGGAAAGGUUCCAAAAAUCUGAAGCCAGCACGGGAGGAAAUAUGUUCUUUAAGGCAACCACAUUCUGGAAAAAUGUGUCCAAAAUGUGAAAUCCUUGUCUGCCGAAAAUGUGAGACACUGCAUUCAGAAAGCAGCUUCAUUGCUCACAGCCUACUUGAUCACUACGACAGAGGAGGACGUGGCAGUUCUACUACGCUGAUUACAAAAAGCCAGAAAGUAUGCAGAAGUGAUUAAAGAAUUACUGUGGGUGCUCUGUUGAUACCUGACUACAUCAAGAAUGCUGAAGCUUGGAUCCAUUUAGGCUGAACCCUUGGUUUGCACAAUCUGAAUGCAGCAUCAGCAACUGCAGCUAUGAUGCUGUUCAUACUUUCCAUAUGUAGCAGAUACACAUUCACUCAUUUAACAGUAUAAAGUCUGUGAGUAGGAACUGCAAGUGUCUCUGCUAUUAAGAACAGGAAAUGAUUUCAAACAGCUUCAAAGAGUUUUAUUUUUCCCCUCAAGGAAUCAAGAUUAUCACAUUGAGCUGCGAAAGAGAAAGCAAGUAUUAAAUACAGAACAAUACAAUUGUUUGCAAUGUGUAGGUAUGUUUCAGUGUUACUUGUGGUCUGGAAUAUUAAACUUAUUUUUAAAUUAACUGUCAUGGGUAUGUAAUUUGAUGGGGGAAAGAGAGCUUCUAAAGGCUAUCCUGGCCACAAAAAUUUUAUUCAAAUUCCCUUCAAGCAUUCAAUGCCCAACUUAUGACUCAGCACCUCUCCUUAAGAGAAGGAGUAACUCCAAAUAAAGUAUUUAAGCCUGUGUAUCGCAGCACUAGCAUUCAAAGUUUAAGCUUAUUAGUAGAAUCCACACCUUAAGCUGUCCAUGUCCAUUCCCUUCACAGCGAUAAUCAGAAAGCUGACUAGCCAAUAUACAAUGCUGGAUGGUGGGUGGCUUCAAGGUCCAGCCAUACACAGAACUAUUUGUCUCUAUGGAAUUUAGAAAUGCAGGUUAACUGUAGAAGUAACUUCUGGAGCAGAUGACCCCUGAGAUUAGCAAUGGGCCUCUUUUCCUCCCACGCCAACUGCCCUAACUCUAUAUGCAGGAUGUAUUCUUUGCUCUUUGGUAGGGAAUGGACUAAACAAACUUUGUCUCAGUAAUACAAAAUAUUAAGGGUCCUUUUAUUCAGCCAAGCAAAAAGAACACGGGGUGCAAACUUUGGACCUCUGCUUAAUCACUCCUCUUCCUAAAUUCACAGGUCACUGGCCCAUAGGCGAAAGGAGCCUCCCUCUUUCUGUCUUCCCCACUUCCCCUUUAAAAGCUGUUCCAUUUUGAUUUCAAUCAAUGUUGGGUACAAGGACUGGAAUCCACACUGUUUAUCUAAGGAGCACUGUUAACCGUGCUGUCGUCCAUUCUAAUAUCGUUGGCUACUCACCCUGCUGCCCCAUGGAAAACUGCUUCUACAGGAGAAAUUCAUAGCCAUGGAAACAUCUUUCCCACACUACUGAGCAAUAAUGCUCAGCACCAUUUGUGCUAGGUGACGAUUCAAUAUUCCUUAUGCAAAGGAGGUAAAGAAACAACUUCAGGAAUUAGAAUGAGCUGCUCGGGCUGUGUUGUACAUUGGUCACAUCAGAACGUGCAUCCAGAAGUUGCUCACUGAGCAAAGCUUGGAAGAUAAAUAAGAGUAAACCUCAGGCAGGAUUUACAAACAAGAACAAACCACUCCAAUUCCUCACCUCUCCCUGGACUUCAGUGGAUAGAGGCACUAUCAGAAGAAAGAGCUUAGAAUUCCCAGACAAAAAAUUAGAUCUUACAUACAUCCUUACACUACAGAGAGUUGUAAUCCCUUGGAAACCAUGUUUCCAUGGUGCUCAAUUGUUGCUUGCACUCAUUUGCUUCACAAAAGCCAGAUGAUGCCUGGCAAAUCAGAAUUAAUCUUUUACGCUUCUCUGUGAUCACUAUUCUUAAAACUCUUAAAGUGUGAUCCUUCAUAGAUUUUCCAAGAGUAAGUCAUACAACUAUAUAAGGAAUAUAAGUGAAUCCCCAUCCCAUUUCAUCAAGCAAACGCGGGAAAACUUCAACAUAAUCACCUGAGGAAAAGGAAAGUGACAGGCUGAAAGGAUGAAGGACUGACUCAUCACAACAGCAUCAUUUAAAAUCCGAUCCAAUAUAGUAAAACCUGUUAAAACAAAUAAUGUAGUUGAGAUUUUAGACAGAUGUUCUGGAAAUGACACAGCAGAUAAGGUUAUGUCAGCAUCUGACUGGCAAAAUCUUCCCUUGUGGUUUACCAGAGGGCAGACAGUGGUGGUGCAGUUCCCCAGGAAGGCUAAUCUGGCUGGAAAGGCAUCAGCAUAAUAGUAGCACACAACUCAUUACAGAAAAAAAGUUUUCUUGUCUUCUCACUUGGUCAGCAGUAAAUGCUAUUUUGCCACAGCAUUUGAGGAACAGCUACUAAUAUGAGCAGAGUGACGGAGUUCCCUGGGAAGCACUGGCAGGAGCACGGACUCUCUUCAUCAGUCAGGAAGUCACACUCAAAAAGAACAACUACAAGAUUUUUAUUAUGCAUUGAGGAAGGAUGAGCAGCGUGGUACUCAGAUUUUCUCAGUAUCAUUAGCUGUUAAAAUUACUGCACUCUUCCUGGGUAAGCUACCAAAAUCCACUUCAAAUAUCUGCUUGCAACUGCAUAUUCCUGAGACCGCAUUUAUUCCUUCUGCUCACUCAGACUUCAGCUAAAAAGUCUCCAGUUUCCUCAUGGGAAUGUUAGAAAAUCCAGCUCUGCUGACUCCUCAGUCCUUGCACUGACUGAAAAUUAACUGUGCUCCCCAGUAAGAGAUCCACGUGGGCUACAGGUUAUGCAUGCUGUUCCCACAGAAGCUGUUAGAAGAAGCUUACAUAUCCAUGUGAUCUAAACUAAAUUCUGUGGAAAGGCAAAGCUAGCUCCCUGAACUGAAAAUAUGAAGGAUCAGCACUUCUUAUGUCUAUUUAAAUCCCUUGAGAUUUUAUCUGUUACAAUCUUGCUAUGAUUGAUUUGCAUAGAUAUUCCAGUUGCAGGAAUAAUUUCACUACUAACACCUUACAUCCUGACUAUAUCCACCAGCAGUCAGCUGCAGACAAACAUGUCACAAGCAAGUUUUGCAGUGGAGACAGUGGAGUAGUUAGUGUGGUAUUGUGGUCGGGAAUACAAUAAUAGUGAAAUAAAAAUACCACUACCUUGAAAUUAAUCUGACUCCCACCUAUUGAGCCAGUCUACAAAUAAUACAAAGCCAUAUGUAAAAUGUUGCAUUCCAACUCAUACACAACAGCAUCUGGUAAACUGUGCUUUCCAUCAAGACAGCUCUACUUCCUCAUCUCUCAGCUAAUACACCAGAUAAUUUUCUUUUUUUUUUUUUUAAUUUUAAAUUUCAAAUGUUUUAAAAAUCUUGCCAGAAGCAGGAAUGCGUUAUGUGAACACAGGAUUUCAGUACUGGAAGUUAAAGCCAGCUGAGACACAUAUAAUAUCAAUACAAUGUAUUUUGAAGGAACAGUAAUAGAAAUACUGACUACAUGCUUAAAAGAUUUAGGAUUGGAGUCAUUUCUAAGAAAUAAAACCAUGAUCUUAGCCUGGCAUCUUAAUUACUGAGAGCCCAUACAAUUUAAUUAUCUCAUUUCAAUAGCUUUGGGAAAUUAAAGAGGAAUACUGGAGUGUACUGUACUAAAUAUACAAAUAGGCUCUGUUAAAGGCAUUCACUAGAAUGUGAACAAUUGAACUAUCAUAUCAGUGCACCACUGUCACUUAAAACUGGUACAAGCAUAAAAGAAAAAGGAAGCAGCUCUACUGGUGAGGGACAACUCCAUGGGAACUCUUUGCUUGGAAAGCAAAUAUAAGACAAGCAAAUAUAAAUGGCAGCAUUUGCCACCAUUUGUCACAAAUCACAUAAUACACGGUAAAGGAAAAUCAUACAAUCAAAAUAAAAACCAGAACUAAUAUAUACAUUAUACAUCGAGCAUACACCCAGUUUCAGCUGUUUCUAAAAGCAGUGCAUAGGUAUUUCUCCUCUGCCAGUACCAGUGAGGGACUUGGGAAGCAGGGUUCAUUUAGAAGCAGUCAUUUUCCUGGUGGAAAUGUUGGAUCAGAUUAGAAGUGGACUUGGAGAAAAGUAACUUAACAUGCGACAACCUGCACUGAAGGUGUUUUAUACCAGAACUCACAGCUUACAAUUAGUUUUUGAGCAAGUGCAUACAAC
Non-coding RNA from Meleagris gallopavo (turkey), 5695 nucleotides. NCBI's taxonomy places the organism in Eukaryota, Metazoa, Chordata, Aves, Galliformes, Phasianidae. The record is from RefSeq and is a predicted model, not a curated record.